UACGGGGGGGGCAAGCGUUGUCCGGAAUCAUUGGGCGUAAAGGGCGCGUAGGUGGCCCGGUCAGUCAGUGGUGAAAGCGCGGGGCUCAACUCCGCGUCGGCCAUUGAUACUGCUGGGCUUGAGCACUGUAGAGGCAGGCGGAAUUCCGGGUGUAGCGGUGGAAUGCGUAGAGAUCCGGAAGAACACCGGUGGCGAAGGCGGCCUGCUGGGCAGUAGCUGACACUGAGGCGCGACAGCGUGGGAGCAAACAGG
RNAcentral lists this ribosomal RNA (252 nucleotides) under uncultured bacterium. Its description in RNAcentral is "partial 16S ribosomal RNA". It matches the Rfam family "Bacterial small subunit ribosomal RNA", at positions 524 to 776 of the family's 1533-position model. The record is from RNAcentral.